Long non-coding RNA from Bos taurus (domestic cattle), 1053 nucleotides. The record is from Ensembl. NCBI's taxonomy places the organism in Eukaryota, Metazoa, Chordata, Mammalia, Artiodactyla, Bovidae.
GCAGCCCCUGACGGGCAGCGAGACUCAGCUAAUAGUUACAGGUGCUCGAGCCUUGGCGCACACAGGUCACAGCCCCUGCCAUCAAAACGGAGGGGUGAGGAAGGGGACCGCACCAACCCGAGCUCCUGGCUAGUGCUGCAUGCUAAGUCGUUCAGUUGUGUCCGACUCCUUGCCACGCUAUGGACUGUAGCCCGCCAGGCUCCUCUGUCCAUGGGAUUUUCCAGGCAAGAAUACUGGAAUGGGUUGCCAUGCCCUCCAGGGGGUCUUUCCGACCCAGGAAUCGAACCCGUGUUUCUUAUGCCUCCUGCACUGGCAGACGGGUUCUUUACCACUAGGGCCACCUGGGGAGCCCCCGGAUGCUAUGCUAGCAGACAUCUCAAACCCAAUUCACUCAAAUCUGACACCCCCAGACCCACUACUUGCUCUGACUUCCUCAUCUCGGUAAAUGGCAACCACAUUUCUCCUUUUUACCUCCUCUCAAAGUAGGCAGUAGCAAAGUCUGCCUCUUUAUUCAAAAUACAUUCAAAGUUCUUCUCUCCAAAGUGAGUGCCACCCUUCCCCACCCCCUAAGUUCUCCAAGCAAGGUUUCAGCAAUAUGUGAACUGUGAACUUUCAGAUGUUCAAAUUGGUCUUAGAAAAGGCAGAGGAACCAGAGAUCAAAUUGCCAACAUCUGCUGGAUCAUCAAAAAAGCAAGAGAGUUCCAGAAAAACAUCUAUUUCUGCUUCAUUGACUAUGCCAAAGCCUUUGAGGGUGUGGAUCACAAUAAACUGUGGAAAAUUCUUCAACAGAUGGGAAUACCAGACCACCUGACCCGCCUCCUGAGAAAUCUGUAUGCAGGUCAAGAAGCAAUAGUUAGAACUGGACAUGAAACAAUGGACUGGUUCCAAAUAGGAAAAGGAGUACGUCAAGGCUGCAUAUUGUCACCCUGCUUAUUUAACUUAUAUGCAGAGUACAUCAUGAGAAACGCUGGGCUGGAUGAGGCACAAGCUGGGAUUAAGAUUGCUGGAAGAAAUAUCAAUAACCUCAGAUAUGCAGAUGACACCACCCUUAUG